Molecule: transfer RNA, 72 nt
Filed under: Heterocephalus glaber (naked mole-rat)
Lineage: Eukaryota; Metazoa; Chordata; Mammalia; Rodentia; Bathyergidae
Rfam family: tRNA
About the family: Transfer RNA (tRNA) molecules are approximately 80 nucleotides in length.
Source: Rfam by way of RNAcentral
GGGGGCAUAACUCAGUGGUAGAGCACUUACCUAGCUUGUAUGAGGUCCUGGGCUCAAUCCCCAGUAUUGCCA